This 420-nucleotide ribosomal RNA is filed under the name bacterium. RNAcentral's name for it is "partial 16S ribosomal RNA". It matches the Rfam family "Bacterial small subunit ribosomal RNA", at positions 355 to 776 of the family's 1533-position model. The record is from RNAcentral.
UGGGGGAUAUUGCACAAUGGGCGAAAGCCUGAUGCAGCGACGCCGCGUGGGGGAUGAAGGCUUUCGGGUUGUAAACCUCUUUCGCUAUCGAACAAGGCCCGCUUAGGGUGGGUUGAGGGUAGGUGGAGAAGAAGCGCCGGCUAACUACGUGCCAGCAGCCGCGGUAAUACGUAGGGCGCGAGCGUUGUCCGGAAUUAUUGGGCGUAAAGGGCUUGUAGGCGGCUUGUUGCGCCUGCUGUGAAAACGCGGGGCUUAACUUCGCGCGUGCAAGGGGAACAGGCAGGAUUGAGUGAGGUAGGGGUGACUGGAAUUCCAGGUGUGGCGGUGGAAUGCGCAGAUAUCUGGAGGAACACCGAUGGCGAAGGCAGGUCACUGGGACAUUACUGACGCUGAAGAGCGAAAGCAUGGGUAGCGAAAAGG